CCACCUCUCUCUCUUUGUCGAGAGGAACAAGGGAUUUUGUGUCUUUUCCGGUGAAAUCGAGCUUCCCUUUUGGUGUAACCUCUUCGUCCGUCCCCUUGCACCAAAUUUUCAAACACCACAUGUUGGAUAGAUAGAUAUGCAUCAUAGAAAAAAAAGUUUGUAAAAAUCACAAGACAAACUAUGGAGAAAUUCUAGAUUGAUGAAGAAGAAAAGGCAAUUUUUUUUUUUUGAUAUUUUGACAAAGCAAAUUGAUCAAAACACAUUUUUGGAAGUUGAAAUAUUUUCUUAACUGAAACUUCCUUAAUUUUCGAAGAAACAUGUUUUAUUAUCCAUAAAAUGCACAUUAUAUACUGUGUAGAACCAUAACAAAAUCUUGUGUUUAGAUUUCGCGUUCCCGAAUUUUUAGAAUACUUCAUAAAAGUAAAAACUGCAUUUGAAACAAAAGUACUUAUCUUUACAUUUAGUAGAAUUCACAUUUUCCAUAUUUAGAAUCUAUCUUAUUAAUUUAGAAUCCUAAUUUUAUCUACUAUUGAGAAGUCAUAAUAAGACCAUUAUAUUAGUAGUAUAACAAAAUAAAUUUAUAGUAGAUAUCAAUCAAUUACAAAGAUAUUAACGUUUAUAUAAUUUUGACAAAAUAAAUCUAUUAAUUAUUUUAGUUCUUAAAAAUCAGUACCAAACAGCAAAAUUACAAUCUCCUAACAAGAUUUACGUAUAUUAUAUAAAUAUUGUUUCUGAAAUAUAUAAUUUACACCAACAUUGAUAUCAACACUAUUUAUAUAAUUCCCUCACGUCGUAAAUACUAUAGUACUAGAUACAAUUUUAAUAUCGUUAUUAAUAACUAUUUUUGUAGCUCCAUAAUGUUUAUAAGUACCAAAAUAAAUUAAACUAUUUUGCAUUUGCAAUAUGUAACACAACAUCAUACUUCUUUUCAUGUCAAUAAAAAAUAUAGCUCUAACAAAAAAUAAUCCGCGCAAGUGCGCAUGUAAAAAUUCUAGUUUUAAUUAAAAGUAGAUUGUUCGUUCUAAAAAAAGUAAAUUGACUUAUUUAUUCUGAAAUUCGUUUUCUACUAACUCACUUUUCGUAGAAGACGAAUUCUACGUUAAUAGAACAUAAUAAAACAAUUAUUUAUCAAGCUUUUCAACAAAAAAAUAUGUUAUUCUAUAUGGGUGUUUUAUUAAUUUUUUAUAUUUUUAAUCAUUUUUUUAUUUAUAAAACUAUUUAUUUAUUUAAUUUUUAGAAAUAUAAAAGGUAAAAUGGAAAUAAAAUGGACAAAAAUAGUUUUAUACCAAAAGAACAAUCAUCCUAAAUUUUUGUUUCGUUUUGACAAUUUUCCCAAAAAACUAUCAUAAUUAUACUAUUUUGUUCUUUGAAAAUUUAUAACUACCACGAAGACACAUCAUGAUCACAACAAAUACAAUACAAAUAUUUUUCAUUUCGUCAUUUCUUAAUUAUAAAAUGUGGAUAUAUAAUCUUUAUAAAACGAUAAAUGGAUAUGUGAUUCAGUUCGACUCGUUGAAAGUUGAAACUAAUUAAGGCAUCAGUGGAAUCAACUGUAAACUUCCGACAGAAAAAAAUCAAUGGAAGUUCUUCUUUCUUAGUAUUCAAAGUUUUGUUAGGGAAAAAUUAUUAAAUUUUUUGUGUCUCCUAUUCUUACCACUAAGUUUGAUCAAUCUCAUAUAUAUAUAAUAAUAUGUGUACAUAACGUCUUAAAUAUUCGAACAUUCCUGUGGUGGAUAUUAAGUUUUCUCCAACUUAAAAAAAAACAAAAGAAAAGUUUAAUCCAACUUUUGCAUCAUAGCUGACUUGUUUUAUAGAUCAUGAAGACGACUAAUUAUCUGCCGUGGACGUGAAAAAACCUCAAACCAUUUAGGAUCAAGCUUAGUGGCAUGAAUUUACAUGAAUUUUUAUAUAUACUCGGCCAUAAUAUUUUGGCUUCACAAAGCAUGUUUAAUCUGCGUUUUGCUCGAAUGACGUGUACGUAUUUACGCAAUACUAAUAUUGAUGAUUAGUGUUAUAUUAUAUAGUCACCUAGUUUGAAUAAUUUAGAUACAGCUUGCGCGUUUGGUUUUCUUCUAUCUAAAUUAGGCGUGCAUGUAUGAGUAAUUGUAUAUAUAUAUUUAUAAAUUGGCCGAUCGACAAAUAUCUGAGACCAACCAAAUUGAUCUUCAUUGUUUGUAAGAGUCAAAUGACAGAUAACCUAAUGAUUUUAAAUGUCAAGACUCUUAACUUCCUGCAAAGCACCUACUAAUCUCCCACUAUAUCCACUUGCUAAUUUAAAAUUACGAUAAUAAUGUGCAAAAUCGUAGAAAUACAGCUUUUUUUGUUUCCUUUUUCUUUUUGUAGAAAUACAGGUAAAGUAAGAAAAAAAUGUAAAAAAUGUAUACAUGUGUACAAAUGAAGAAUUUUAAUUAAGUAGCCUGGGGAUCCGAAUUAGAUUAGAUAGUUCUUUUAUUAUAAAACCCUCCCGCGUAGCUGAAUAUAUAGACGAACAAACAUUUAUCAGAUACUCUGAUACUCACCGCGGCGAGGCGGAAGUGAUCAAUAGAGUUAUACAGUAGAACAAUUUUUGUCUGUGUUGAAAAAUGAAUUGCAUAAGACGGCGAGUAAUAUCACCGUGGCGGUUCUCUGUAAACAUCUUUUUCCACUGUUUACAAUUACCAGCAGCUGUUGUCGUAUCUUCUACUUUUUAUGAUACAACUAUGCUUUUAUUGAAAGCCUGUUACAAAAAAAAACUAUGCUUUUAUUACAAAAACUCGUAGAUUUUUUUCUGGAGUAAAAUGUUAAAUUUUAUACGAUUUUUUGUUUGAGAGAAAUUACAUAGAAAUAAAUAGUAUAAAAU
Brassica rapa (field mustard) is the source of this 2839-nucleotide long non-coding RNA. RefSeq lists it as uncharacterized. NCBI's taxonomy places the organism in Eukaryota, Viridiplantae, Streptophyta, Magnoliopsida, Brassicales, Brassicaceae. The record is from RefSeq and is a predicted model, not a curated record.